AAAGUUGGGCCUGCCCACUGAAUUUUGAAGGGCCGCAGUAUUUUGACUGUGCAAAGGUAGCAUAAUCAUUAGUUUUUUAAUUGAAAGCUUGUAUGAAUGGUUUGAUGAAAAAAUUACUGUUUUAGUUUUAAUUUAUUGAAUUUUAUUUUUAAGUGAAAAAGCUUAAAUUUUAUUUAAAGACGAGAAGACCCUAUAGAGUUUAACUUAAUNAGAAAUUAAUUAAUAAGAAUUUUAAAAUUUAAUUUUAAAGUAAGUUAUGUUGGGGUGACAAAAAAAUUUAAUGAACUUUUUUUUUAUAAUUACAAUUAUAAUUGAGUUUUUGAUCCAUAAAAAUGAUUAUAAGAAUAAAUUACCUUAGGGAUAACAGCGUAAUUUUUUUUAAGAGUUCUAAUUGAAANAANGGAUUGCGACCUCGAUGUUGGAUUAAAAUUUAUUUUUGGUGCAGAAGCUGAAAAAUUAGGUCUGUUCGACCUUUGAAAUUUUACAUGAUCUGAGUUUAAACCGGUGUGAGCCAGGUUGGUUUCUAUCUUAAAUUUUUGUAAUAUCUUAGUACGAAAGGAUUGGAUAUUAUAUUAAUAAUAUUAUUUUGAGAAUUUUAUUUUGGCAGAUUAGUGUGAAGGAUUUAGAAUCUUUUUAUGUAUUUAUUUACAAAUAAAAAUUGAUUUAAUUUUAAUUUCUUUAAGGCUUAUUAAUUUUAG
RNAcentral lists this ribosomal RNA (698 nucleotides) under Afidentula scitula. RNAcentral describes it as "partial 16S ribosomal RNA". The stretch from base 1 to 554 matches the Rfam family "Archaeal large subunit ribosomal RNA", at positions 1941 to 2987 of the family's 2987-position model. Lineage: Eukaryota; Metazoa; Arthropoda; Insecta; Coleoptera; Coccinellidae. The record is from RNAcentral.